UCUUAUUUUCAACGUGUCUGCCUUCUUGUAUCAAUUGGACUAGCCCAAUUAAUAAGAUAUUUCAAUUCAAGGUAUUAAUUUUUCCUUUUAAUGAAAUCUAGUCCUUGAUAUGAAUUUUAUUUGUGCAACCAAUCUCCUCCUCAAUUUCAAACUUGUGGAAUUUAAUCCCAAAUCAUAAAUUUUAAUCGACUAUGUCCUUCUUCCUUUCCACUUGCUUCAAACAGGUUCGUCACUAAAAUCAAAAUAAAAUUAAUCCAAGUUAAAUAGAAAUUAAUAAAUUGACGGCAUAUAAACUUAAUAAUGUGGCCUAAAUAAAUGCACAAAUUGUACUUAUCAAUUUGCAUAUUUUCUUUUUCAUAUAAUUCCAUUAUUUUUUUUUUCUUUUGUUCCACACAGAAAGCUAGAUUUGAACAACAAAAUCAUCAAUUCGCAAAAUCAAAUCACAAUCACUUUUUUGAAACGUUGCUUUGAAUCCACGCAGAUUAGUUAAUGUUUUAGUUUUGAACCGAACCAAAUCGCUCGAAAUUGUUUGGUUUAGAUUUCAAUCUUUAUGAAUCAUUUCAAAUUGUCAAAUUGUCUAAUAAUAAUAAUAAUAAUAAUAAUAAUAAUAAUAAUAAUAAUAAUAAUAAUAAUAAUAAUAAUAAAUAUAAAGUAAAUUAUUUUAAUUUUUAUUUAAUUGAAUUAAAACUAAACACGUCCCAGUUAAAAAGAUACGUGCACAAAUUAAACUCAAUACCAAAAUACACAAUUAUCCAUGUCAAUUAAUUAAUUAAAUCAUACUCAAAUAUCCAUUAGUGAUCAUAACUAUGAAUGCAAAACCCUCAAAUUGGGAGAAAUGUUGAACAACUAUUGUUGAAUCAUAUUCAUCGACCGCUCAUUACAAUUUAGUGGACAGUUAAAUUUAGAUUUUAAUUCCAAACUGACACAAGUUUCUUUUCCUUCUACUAAUAACUUUCUUGAAUUUUGGCCAAUUUUUCAAAAUUGUUAAUUAUAUUUUUAUUGACAAAUGUGCUGUUUUGUUCUAAUUUAUGCUGGAUUCCCUUAAAUUUUUAGUGGACAAUUUUUUGUUUAUUUGUAUCUUAAUUUUCUAGUGUAGUCACUCAAUUAAUUAUUUAAUUUUGACUUAGUUUAUAGAUUUUAUUGUUAAUUGCUAGAAUGAUUCAGUAGAUUACUUAAAUGAUCGUUUUGAAGAUUUGAUCGGUAAGUUCUUCGACAAAUUACUGUGGUGAAAAUUGAAUAUGUAUAGAUAUAAGAUUGUCCCCUAAAUUGCUAAAGAUGUGUUAGCUAUUUAAAUAUCUAUGAUUACUUUCGAGACUGCAUUACCUACUAGUGGUAGGAUUCUUGAUUCCUUUUAGGAAUUCGUUGAGUGCAAAUAUAGUUAAGGUUGUGAUUUGUCCUAAAAAUUGAUUGCAUAGUAACAAUGAAUCUAUAGUGUUUCAUUAAUAUUUGGAUAAGAUAGAAACAUUGGAUGGUUGACCGACUAUCGAGAUGACCUACCAAAUACCAUGUCAAUCGAAUGACUACUAAGAUAGUCGAUUGACCAUUAGAUGAUCGAUCAGUAGGAAACUCGAUCUACCACUCUAUUCCUUAAUCAUUCUGAUAUUAUUUUGAUAGAUGAGAAAUCGUAUGACGACUAUCUCUAAGUUCGUUAAUUGCCUGAUGAGUGGGAAGUAAUAGCUAUAUAUGUGGAUGAGAGGCAAUCACUAUACAUGCAAGUACUGUUAUACACGUGGAUAAGAAGUAACCGCUAUACAUGUAAGUAGGAGGUAACCACCGUACACUUGGGUGGAAAACUGCUUGGCGGUUACACGGCCAAAAAGUCACCUAAAAUACCAAGGCAAACCAGGUAUGAGGGACCUUUUGUAGAAUUUCUUACUGGAAUUCUCUAUUUUAUUAUUCAUCGGAGUAGCAGAAGUCGUCUUGUUCCAUCAAGGAAGUCGAAAAGUUAUUUCAAUGUUAUUUCAUUGGCCCCGUCUAUGGGAACUUCUAAAUAUAUAAGCUAUGUCAAAAAAGUAAACAAGGAGCAAUACGUGCUUAGUCAGAAAGAAGGCCAGAGUCAAAGACUAUCGCCCAGGAUCAAGAUCUACCACCAUAGCCUCAUCCUCAAUAUGUAACAAAGAGUCAGUUUAGCAUUCUAAAAGCUCAGUUAGUAGCCGUGAUAACUCGUUUACAAAAUCAAACUCAGAGAGCGGUCGGCCCAAUCCACCAAAACUUCCACCACAAGAUACAGGCAGACAUCGACCCCAAGUGACACAAACGGUUGCCACCAGUUACUUAGCCAAUGAUGGCAAACCAAGGGUCUCUCGUAGUCACAACCCAUAAGUUUCGUAUCUUAUUGGUAGAUUUGGAACACAAUAUGGAGGAAAUGAUGGCCCAGAAGACAGAUGAUGUAUUAUCAAAAAGAAAGGAUAGAAGCAAGCAAAUGGUUAUAGAAAAAAACCCCUUUGCACUAGAGAUCAUGGCAAUCCAUCUACUAAAAGGCUUCAAACAGCAAAUGAUAUAGGCAUAUAAUUGAGUUAUGGAUUGGUUUGAUAACUGCAUACUUUCGUCAAUUUGAUGAGACUGUAUGCAACCCUAGAUACAGUGAUGUGUCGAUCUUUUCCAUCAACAUUAAGGAAAUAUGCUAGAAACUGGGUAGCUAUUCUUGCACUCUAGUUUAUCAAAAUUUUUGAUGAGCUCUCUAGGAACUCUGUGGCAUAUUUCUUGAGUAGUAAGAGAAUAUAGAAGAUAGAGAUUGUGCUGAUAUAGAUUGUCCAAGACAAAUAUAAGCUCUUACAAAUUUAUUUGGCCAAGUUUAGUCGCUCUACUCUUGGCAUAAAGGACCUUCAAAUGUCUGAUGUGGUUACCACAUUAAUAAAUAGGACGUGAAAUUGGGUAUUUAAGAUGUCGCUCUCAAAGAAUCUCCUAGAGUCGACGCAUGAUUUGUUGAAGAAGUGAGACAAAUAGGUAAAUGUAGAGAAAAUAGAGGUCACAAAAAAUCUUCGAGAAAGAUGAGAGCCAUAAACUCACAAGUGAAAGUCACAUGACAAGUGAAAACCCACUAAUAUAAACAAUCAGGAAAAUGAGCACGUGAACGAGGGAUAUACACAGGAUCGAUCGACCAGGCAAAGGCGUAAAGAAGUCAAGACCUUUAUCCCUUUGAACACUUCACAUGCUAAGUUAUUGAUGGAGAUUUGAGACAUAAAAGAGCUUGAUUGGCCAAAGCUUAUGUUCGUGUCUGCUAGCAAUAGGGACAAAAGAAAGUAUUAUCAUUUCCACAAUGAUCGUAAGCAUGACAUAAAAAAUUGCAUCGAUCUGAAAGAAAAGAUUGAUUAUCUUCUGAUAUAGGGAUUCCUAGCUAAAUACAUGAAAAAUGAUUAGGGCAAGGAGAAAGUCGAGAUUCAAUCAAAACGUCACUUUUGGUGAUGAUGACUUAAUCGGUGUAGCAAGCUCCCAUGAUGAUGCCCUAGAGGUAGGAAAUAUAGUGGAUUUUGAUAUCAAAAAGGUGCUAGUCGAUGGUGUUAGUGCAACUAAUGUUCUUAUUUGAAAAGCCUUUCUUGGGGUUGAAAUCUCUAUCAAAAAAUUAAAAACCGCAAUCACCUUUCUUCGAGGAUUUUGCAAGGCAACUGUGAUACUAAAUGGAACCGUAGAUCUUCCAAUUAAGCUAGCACUCACCCAGCAAGUGUUAUGUAGAUAACAUACAAGCCAAGGGCUCUCCACCGGUCAUGAUGUUAGGCUUUUAAUCCUCUAAGGAGCUAGGUGUUAAGCAUCCUAGUGGUGGACUUUUUGAAAAUAUGAUUGGUUAGGUAAGAUUAGGGAUGGCAAAUUGGCUCGAGAGCUUGGGCCACUCGUGGCUCGACCUGUAAAAAGCUCGAACCGACCCAGCUCGAGGCUUGGUGGAACUGAGCCUAGGCUUGGUCCAAACCUCAUCUUGGGGUGUCGGGUGCGAAAUUUAAAAAAAAAAAUUGUAGCAGCUAGCAGCUGAAAAUAAAAUAAAAUAGAAGAGAAGAAAGAAAGAGAAAAAGAACCAAGCCGGCUCGGCCCGAGCCUAAAGCUCGGUUGGAGCCUUGAUUUUUUGGCCGUGCUUUUGCUCGGCUCGAGCCAAAAAAAGCUUGACCUAAAAAAGCUCGAUCCGAACCCGAGCCUUGAUUUUCGGCUCGAAAGCAGGCUCAACUCGGCUCGUUGACACCUCUAAUAAUAUAUGUUUCUAUUCUCCUUGUAAAUAUAGUUGUUAUGUUUUUUUUAUUGUUUUUCCAAAUGUAAUGCUUGUUACUAGUUCAAGCGUCUUGGAAUUAAUAGCCUUAUUUUGAAAAGUCUAUAUGUUGGUAGACGAUGAGGGUAGUAAGGAAAGUCCAACCUACAUUGGACGUCUCAAUGUGCCUAUUAAGUCCAUAAAUCGAGGCAAACUUUAUGUAAACGCACACACUUAAUCUACAAUCAUUGAGAUUUUUAAUACGAAUCAUGGGCUCCAAACUUCGUUUAACACAUCAAAAUCACUCGACUAUCUUAUUGGUGAGCUUUCAAAACCAAAAAAUUUGAUUAAAUAUCAAAAUCACUAGACAAAUGAUCAACACAUCAAAAGCCACCAAGGAGCUAAGCAGUGAGCAAGAAAACUAAAAAAUUGGCUUUAAACUCAAAAUUGCUUCAAAAUCUUAGUGGUAAGCUUUAAAAAAUAAAAGAAAUUGGUUAAGCCUUAAAAUCACUAGAUAGGCAUUCAACACAUCAAAAUCAUCCAAGGAGUUAGGAGGUGAGCCAAAAAAAAAAAAAAAAAAAAAAAAAAAAAAAAAAAAAAUAAAACCAAAGAAAUUGGUUAAGGCUCAAAAUAAUUAGACUAGCGUUCAACACAACAAAAUCGUCCAAUGGACUAGGCGACGAGCAAAAAAAAGCCAAAAUUUUAGUUAUAAGCACAAAAUUGCUCUACAUUCUCAAUAGUGAGCUUUUAGAAUAAAAUAAAAAAUGGUUAAAGCUCAAAAUCACUAGACAAGCGCUCAACACAUUAAAAUCGUCCAAGAGACUAGGCGGUGAUCAAAAAAUCAAAAAAGUGGUUAUAAGCUCAAAAUCCACCUUCAGUAUCAGUGGUGAAUUUUUAAAACCAAAAGAUUGAUGAAGGCUCAAAAUUACUACAUCAUGCGCUCAACCUAACAAAUCGUCCAGGGACUAAGCAGUGAAAAAAAUUUGCUUAUGAGCUCAAAAUAUCUCUACGAUCCUUGUGGUGAGUUUUCGAAACCAAAAUAUUAGUUAAUGCUCAAAAUCACUAAACCCCACACUCAACACAUCAAAAUCGCCAAGGGCUAAGCAUUCCGCAAACAAAUUAACAAAUUGGUUAAAGCUCAAGAAAUCUUCAAUGGAAAUACCAUAACUAAAAUUCGCUAACUAAACUCGAAGUUGCAAAAAAUAUUGAGUAGCAAGCAAUUGAUUCAAUAUGGUUGAAGAAUUAUAAGAACUAGGUCCCUUUGGAAGGUUAAGGAGCACCACUUUAAUUGGAUCCCGCUCAAUGUUAAUAUUUUGAUUGGGAAAAUUAAAGGAACCAAUAUGAUUUUUAGGGAAACUUUGACCAAGAAUGUUGGAAUCUCUAAAAUUUGUUGAUUGAAAAUCAUUUUGAGAAGAGGAGGCAGGGUCGAUCGACUGGCCACGGGGCUGGUAGAUUGAACAACCGCAUUGUUGUCGAUCAACCCAGUGAAAGAUGGCCUUCUCGUCCUCACUUUCACUCUCACCCCCACUUGAUUUGCAAGAGGAUGAUUUUAAAUUUUCUUGGCCAGAGGAAGAGGAUAAUGCUAACUUAUUUGUAGAGAUGAAAUGGAAAUAUAAGUAUUUGCUCUUAUGACAUAGAGGAGUGUUGAUAAUAAAUACUAAAAAAAGGUAGAGCGGCUAGUGAUACUAUGUGAUAUAAAUGGUGGACUAUGAUGGCCAACCAAGCGAAAGUAAUUGCUCAAUUAUCACUAUGAUCGACCAACUACCAUGAUGGUCAGUCGACUACCAAAAUGGUCGAUUGUCUACCAUGAUGACCUAUCGACUAACACAAGUUGACUGAAUACCAUGAUGGUUGAUCGACUACCACGAUGACCUACAUACCUCGAUGGUCGAUCGACUACCACUACGAUCAAUCUACCACUAGAUGGUCAAUCACAAAGAAGCUCGAUCUAGUACUCUAUUCCUCAAUUGUUCGAAUAUUUUUUUCAUAAAUAAGAAACCGCAUGAUAACUACAUCUGAUUUCGUUAACCGCCUGAUGAAUGAGAAGUAACCGUUAUACGUGUGGAUAAUAGGUAACAACUAUGCAUGCAAGUACUGCUAUAAUCGCUAUACAUGCAAGUACUGCUAUACAUGUGGAUAAGAGGUAACCGCUAUACAUGAGAGUGGGAGAUAACUGCCAUACACAUGAGUGGAAAACAACUUAGUGGUUGCAUGGCCAAAAAGUCACCUAUAAAUACCAGAAGGCACACUAGGUAUGAGAGACCGUUUUAGAAUUUCUCUCCUGUAUUCUCUAUUGUUUAUCAAAAAGUUAUUUCUUAUUCACUUAAACCCAAUCAUUAAUUCUUAUGCCGGAAAUACAACGGGGAGAGAACUAGCCUCUUAUUGCAGGUAUUUCAUUGUUCAUCAUAGCAGCAAAAGCCACCAUGUUCUAUCAAGGAAGUCGAAAGGUUGUUUCAUUGUUAUUUCUGGUGCAUCAUUUGUGGUAGGUUAAAAAAAUCAAUAUUUCUAAACCACCUCAUCCGUGAUUUUUUGCCUUCUUAAUAUUUUCUUCCAAUUUUAUUUCCACUAAAAAAUUAUUUUACAAGACAAAAAUUGAGUUAAACGUAAAAGCUUACUUAUGAAUGAACAAUAAAUAAUUAAAAAAUUAGUUAUAAGCAAAAAAUUGCUUAUAAUAAAAAUUUACUUAUAACUAAAACAUCACUCAUAACAUAAAGUUCACUUUUUUCUUUUUCUUUUUUUUUCUUGUAAAAAUUGUUUAUUAUGUAUAAAAUACUACUAGUAAAAUAAAAUAAAAAUACUUAUAAAAUUUAAAAAUUUAAAAGUAAAACUUACGAGUAAAAUUAAUCAAUUAAGUCCGAAAUUAAAUUAUAAAUGUAAGGUUUAAUUACAAGUAAUAUAUUUAUUCUUAAUUUUUAAUUUUAACUUAUAAAUAAAUAUUUCAUUUUUUAAGUUCAAAAUUUACUUGGCCCUCGUUUUACUCUUUUUAUUUAAAAAUCCUUUAUUUCGCAUACUCAUUUUUAAUCACAUUCAUACAAUAAAAUAUUUUACAUGUAAAUCGAAAAAUUUUCACCUAUUUUUAAUCAUAAAUUCUCCAAAAAAUUACUAUUUAAAAUCUCAUUUCCCCUUAAUUUCUCUUUAUAAUUGGCAUCAAACAGAGAGUUAUAUAUGAAUGUUACUCAUAGGUGCUUAUGAGUAAAAAAAAUACAAAAACCUACCUUUUAGAUUCAUGCACAAUUAUAAUUCUAUUCUUUAAAAUGAAAAAAGAAUCAAUAAAUAAUAAUCUCUCAAACAUGGAUUGAACUGUUUCAAAAAUCGCUACUAAAAAAAUCACUUAAAAUCAGACUCCUCAUAAACGCUGAAUAUUGAUAUCUCAAAAAACCGCAUAAUCAGUACCCAAAAACUCUGAAGCCCUUAUUGUUUUCUUCAAAUGUCGCUCUUUAACUUAUUGUUGUGUCGUUAUCACCCCUAUAACACUAUCCAUAGUAACUCUACCGAUCAUCAUAUACCCCGAAGCCAUAAAUCCUAGCUCCGCCAUUAAUUGACUCAAAGUUUGAUACUGAUCGUUGAGUGACCAAGCAAUAUAAAACUCCAAAUUAAAUUCAGGUGCUGUUUCUUUCUUUAUUUGUAUAUUUUGUUUUUAUUGCCCCGUCCACGUUAAUAAUUAAUUAUAACAUAAAUAUUUUGAAUAUUAUUAUAAAUUAAAUAUUAAUUAGUGAAUGAUCAUUUUAUUCUUGCAUGCUUAACUAUUAUUUAUAAUGUACACGUGCAGUCAUAAUUCUUAUAUAAAUAUAGAAUUUUGGUUCUCAAUAAAAUAAACACAAUUCUAUUGACUCUCUAUUUUCUUUCAUUUUCUCUCUAAUUUAUAAUGCAUGUUAUUAACACAAAGAUUCUAGCCAAUUGAGUUAGCUAAACAUAUUCCUCUUUCUACUCACGAAUCUCUAACCAGGUUGACGUACGGAAAGCAAUUUUUCUUCUGUUCAAUGAAUAUAUGAAAUUUUAACUAGUUGGGUCGAUAAAUAAACUCUUCUUCUCGUUCAAUGAAAUCGUCAGUAUUCAUUUUAACUUUGAAUUGUAUAAUAAAGUUUUAAAGAUUAAUUUGAUUAUACCAAUUAAUAGAAAUAUGUUUGCUUGAAUGCAAUUUAUUAUUUCUUACAACAUUUGAGAAAGAAUAUUGUAUUAUUAUUAGUCUCGAAGAAGUAACAAACUAAAUCAAUAUUCUGAAAAAUAUAGUAGAUUGUCAAGGGCAAAUCCAGCAUUGUAGUUCAGCUAGAGCAGAGAGAUUAACUGCUGACCCGUCACCGUUGACCAAUGACCAUUGACAAUCAACAAUAGUAAAUAUAAUUCAAUACAUAUGUAAAUGUACUAAAACAUAAAAAGUAUAUACAUCUGAAAAUAUAAUUCAAUAUAACCCAAAAUAAUAAAAAAACAAAAUGUACGACACUAUAAACUUAGACGACAGCAUUCUACGGGAUCUUAUAAUUUCCUAAACCUAAAUUCCAAAUCACAAAUCAAAUAUUACUAAUGAUAAAUUAUAACCCAUAACUCAUACAACAUAAAUUAUUUAUCAUAAAUCACAAUUUUCAUUUAUUCAUCAUACAGGAACCUCACCUCAAUGCCAAAAAAAACCAAAAUGAAGACAAAAGUGUCAAUUAACCUCAAGAAUCAAGAUCGGCAAUAAUUUUUCCACUUAACAUAAUCUGUAUGAAAAUUAAACUUAAUCUUAAAGACUUAAGCUAUCAUCAAUUUCCAACUUCUAAUUUCCAACACAAAUCGAACAUUUCUCACAAAUCAUAAAAUUCCCAAUUCACAUAUUUACAAAAUUUACAAAUUCCCCAAUUUUCAUAAAUCAUAACCAUCAUAUUUAACAUAACAAUCAAAUUACAUCAUCAAAAUCAAAAAGAAAAAAAUAAAAUAAAAGCCAGAAUAGCUCACCAAGGCAAGAAGUUGCACUCGCAGCCAUUGGCGUCCACUCAACUCGUACGAUCGCACCACUCCAUCGUCCACCUCCUCGUCACUCACGGCUCACUGACUCACCAUCCACUCAACUCGCACCACUCUGUCAGGCACCAAUCCACUAUCUUUGCAAUCGCCCUUAGCCUUCAGCAGUUCCAUUCAGCCUUUGGUUAAUUGGUUUCAAUUUUGGAGUUUGGACUCUUCAAAUUGGUGAAUGCAAUGGAAAUAUAUCCACUCCAGCCGUCCAUUAAUUUCAAGGUAUUGGGCCAUUGGAUUUGUGCUUAUAUUUUUUAAAAAAGGCCCAAAAUGGGGGGGAGUAGGCCCAAUAUCCCAGCAGCUUCUUCAUCUUCGCGCUGCAGCUCUGCUUGCCGAGUUUCUUCCCGACGGACCAACGGACAAGCUUGCAAAUGACUGCAAUAAUGAACAUUCCGGCGGAUCCAGCUAGGGCAGUACCUGGAUCCGCCACUAAGCAUUGUCACUUAUCAAUAUUUAAAAAGAAUAUUAUUCUUAUUCUUGAACAUUAAUAUUCUAUUUGUAUUCCUUUUUUAUGAUUAUAAGAAAAAAGUGC
Molecule: long non-coding RNA, 9692 nt
Filed under: Olea europaea (common olive)
Lineage: Eukaryota; Viridiplantae; Streptophyta; Magnoliopsida; Lamiales; Oleaceae
Description: long non-coding RNA (OEUR_LNC003691)
Source: RNAcentral